RNAcentral lists this unclassified non-coding RNA (239 nucleotides) under uncultured fungus. RNAcentral's name for it is "sequence contains ITS2". The stretch from base 1 to 52 matches the Rfam family "5.8S ribosomal RNA", at positions 103 to 154 of the family's 154-position model. The record is from RNAcentral. Lineage: Eukaryota; Fungi.
AACGCACAUUGCGCCCUCUGGUAUUCCGGAGGGCAUGCCUGUUCGAGCGUCAUUACAACCCUCAAGCUUUGCUUGGUAUUGGGCCUCGGGCGUCAGCCCGUGCCUUAAAAUCAGUGGCGGUGCCACCUGGCUCUGAGCGUAGUAAAUCUCUCGCUAUAGAUGUCUGGUGGAUGCUUGCCAUAACCCCUAAUUUUUUUAUGGUUGACCUCGGAUCAGGUAGGGAUACCCGCUGAACUUAA